GGGUUAGUAUCCAAAUUGGCUAAGGACGCUGUCUGUAAAACAGUUGCUAAAUGCGUUGUAGGUUCGAGUCCUACCUAACCCA
RNAcentral lists this transfer RNA (82 nucleotides) under Alkalinema sp. RU_4_3. RNAcentral's name for it is "tRNA-Tyr". It matches the Rfam family "tRNA". From Rfam's summary of the family: Transfer RNA (tRNA) molecules are approximately 80 nucleotides in length. Their secondary structure includes four short double-helical elements and three loops (D, anti-codon, and T loops). Lineage: Bacteria; Bacillati; Cyanobacteriota; Cyanophyceae; Leptolyngbyales; Leptolyngbyaceae. The record is from RNAcentral.